CCUACGGGAGGCUGCAGUGGGGAAUCUUGGGCAAUGGGGGAAACCCUGACCCAGCGACGCCGCGUGAAGGACGAAGGCCUUCGGGUUGUAAACUUCUUUGGCCAGGGACGAAAGUGACUGUACCUGGAGAACAAGCCACGGCUAACUACGUGCCAGCAGCCGCGGUAAUACGUAGGUGGCAAGCGUUAUCCGGAAUUACUGGGUGUAAAGGGCGCGUAGGCGGGUUUAUAAGUUAGAUGUUUAAUUCCUUGGCAUAACCAAGGGUAGUCAUUUAAAACUGUAGACCUUGAGGCUCAGAGAGGACAGUGGAAUUCCUAGUGUAGCGGUAAAAUGCGUAGAGAUUAGGAGGAACACCAGUGGCGAAGGCGACUGUCUGGCUGAGAACUGACGCUGAGGCGCGAAAGCGUGGGGAGCAAACAGGAUUAGAUACCCUGGUAGUC
Molecule: ribosomal RNA, 440 nt
Filed under: uncultured Oscillospiraceae bacterium
Lineage: Bacteria; Bacillati; Bacillota; Clostridia; Eubacteriales; Oscillospiraceae
Description: bacterial SSU rRNA
Rfam family: Bacterial small subunit ribosomal RNA
Source: RNAcentral